Molecule: ribosomal RNA, 249 nt
Filed under: uncultured Pseudomonadota bacterium
Lineage: Bacteria; Pseudomonadati; Pseudomonadota
Description: uncultured proteobacterium partial 16S ribosomal RNA
Rfam family: Bacterial small subunit ribosomal RNA
Source: RNAcentral
GCUGACGAGUAGCGAACGGGUGAGUAACGCGUGGGAAUCUGCCCUAUAGUGGGGGAUAAGCCAGGGAAACUUGGUCUAAUACCGCAUAAUCUCUACGGAGGAAAGCGGGGGAUCUUCGGACCUCGCACUAUUGGAUGAGCCCACGUUAGAUUAGCUUGUUGGUGGGGUAAAGGCCUACCAAGGCGACGAUCUAUAGCUGGUCUGAGAGGAUGAUCAGCCACACUGGGACUGAGACACGGCCCAGACUCC